RNAcentral lists this ribosomal RNA (497 nucleotides) under uncultured bacterium. RNAcentral's name for it is "partial 16S ribosomal RNA". It matches the Rfam family "Bacterial small subunit ribosomal RNA", at positions 28 to 507 of the family's 1533-position model. The record is from RNAcentral.
GACGAUCGCUGGCGGCGUGCCUAAUACAUGCAAGUUGAGCGCUGAAGGUUGGUACUUGUACCAACUGGAUGAGCAGCGAACGGGUGAGUAACGCGUGGGGAAUCUGCCUUUGAGCGGGGGACAACAUUUGGAAACGAAUGCUAAUACCGCAUAAAAACUUUAAACACAAGUUUUAAGUUUGUAAGAUGCAAUUGCAUCACUCAAAGAUGAUCCCGCGUUGUAUUAGCUAGUUGGUGAGGUAAAGGCUCACCAAGGCGAUGAUACAUAGCCGACCUGAGAGGGUGAUCGGCCACAUUGGGACUGAGACACGGCCCAAACUCCUACGGGAGGCAGCAGUAGGGAAUCUUCGGCAAUAGACGAAAGGCUGACCGAGCAACGACGCGUGAGGGAAGAAGGUUUUCGGAUCGUAAAACUCUGUUGGUAGAGAAGAACGUUGGUGAGAGUGGAAAGCUCAUCAAGUGACGGUAACUACACAGAAAGGGACGGCUAACUACGUG